RNAcentral lists this ribosomal RNA (412 nucleotides) under uncultured bacterium. Its description in RNAcentral is "bacterial SSU rRNA". It matches the Rfam family "Bacterial small subunit ribosomal RNA", at positions 355 to 784 of the family's 1533-position model. The record is from RNAcentral.
UGGGGAAUAUUGGACAAUGGGCGCAAGCCUGAUCCAGCCAUGCCGCGUGAGUGAUGAAGGCCCUAGGGUUGUAAAGCUCUUUCAACGGUGAAGAUAAUGACGGUAACCGUAGAAGAAGCCCCGGCUAACUUCGUGCCAGCAGCCGCGGUAAUACGAAGGGGGCUAGCGUUGUUCGGAUUUACUGGGCGUAAAGCGCACGUAGGCGGAUCGUUAAGUGAGGGGUGAAAUCCCAGGGCUCAACCCUGGAACUGCCUUUCAUACUGGCGAUCUGGAGUUCGAGAGAGGUGAGUGGAAUUCCGAGUGUAGAGGUGAAAUUCGUAGAUAUUCGGAGGAACACCAGUGGCGAAGGCGGCUCACUGGCUCGAUACUGACGCUGAGGUGCGAAAGCGUGGGGAGCAAACAGGAUUAGAUA